GACGAACGCUGGCGGCGUGCUUAACACAUGCAAGUCGAACGGUGAAGCGCUUGCCUUUUUGGUGGGUGUGGAUGAGUGGCGAACGGGUGAGUAACACGUGAGUAACCUGCCCUCUUCUUCUGGAUAACCUCAUGAAAGUGGGGCUAAUACGGGGUAUUCCGGGUCUGUCGCAUGGCGGGUUUGGGAAAGAUUGCGCCUUUGGGUGUUUUCGGUGGGGGAUGGGCUCGCGGCCUAUCAGCUUGUUGGUGGGGUGAUGGCCUACCAAGGCGGUGACGGGUAGCCGGCCUGAGAGGGUGGACGGCCACACUGGGACUGAGACACGGCCCAAACUCCUGCGGGAGGCAGCAGUGGGGAAUAUUGCGCAAUGGGCGCAAGCCUGAUGCAGCGACGCCGCGUGAGGGAUGGAGGCCUUCGGGUUGUGAACCUCUUUCGCCAGUGAAGCAGGCCUGCUCCUGUGUGGGUGGGUUGACGGUAGCUGGAUAAGAAGCGCCGGCUAACUACGUG
Molecule: ribosomal RNA, 504 nt
Filed under: uncultured bacterium
Lineage: Bacteria
Description: partial 16S ribosomal RNA
Rfam family: Bacterial small subunit ribosomal RNA
Source: RNAcentral